RNAcentral lists this ribosomal RNA (253 nucleotides) under uncultured bacterium. RNAcentral describes it as "partial 16S ribosomal RNA". It matches the Rfam family "Bacterial small subunit ribosomal RNA", at positions 524 to 776 of the family's 1533-position model. The record is from RNAcentral.
UACAGAGGGGGCGAGCGUUGUUCGGAAUUACUGGGCGUAAAGGGCGCGUAGGCGGCUUUCUAAGUCGGAUGUGAAAUCCCCGGGCUCAACCCGGGAACUGCGUCCGAUACUGGGAGGCUUGAAUCCGGGAGAGGGAUGUGGAAUUCCAGGUGUAGCGGUGAAAUGCGUAGAUAUCUGGAGGAACACCGGUGGCGAAGGCGGCAUCCUGGACCGGUAUUGACGCUGAGGCGCGAAAGCCAGGGGAGCAAACGGG